GUCAUCGUAGCUUAACUCACAAAAGCAUAACACUGAAAAUGUUAACAUGGACAAAAGUCCCGAUGACAACA
This 71-nucleotide transfer RNA is filed under the name Crocodylus porosus (Australian saltwater crocodile). Its description in RNAcentral is "tRNA (ENSCPRG00005000038.1)". It matches the Rfam family "tRNA". Rfam says of the family: Transfer RNA (tRNA) molecules are approximately 80 nucleotides in length. Their secondary structure includes four short double-helical elements and three loops (D, anti-codon, and T loops). Further hydrogen bonds mediate the characteristic L-shaped molecular structure. tRNAs have two regions of fundamental functional importance: the anti-codon, which is responsible for specific mRNA codon recognition, and the 3' end, to which the tRNAs corresponding amino acid is attached (by aminoacyl-tRNA synthetases). tRNAs cope with the degeneracy of the genetic code in two manners: having more than one tRNA (with a specific anti-codon) for a particular amino acid; and 'wobble' base-pairing, i.e. permitting non-standard base-pairing at the 3rd anti-codon position. Lineage: Eukaryota; Metazoa; Chordata; Crocodylia; Crocodylidae. The record is from RNAcentral.